RNAcentral lists this long non-coding RNA (1752 nucleotides) under Physcomitrium patens. RNAcentral's name for it is "long non-coding RNA (PPAT_LNC005062)". Lineage: Eukaryota; Viridiplantae; Streptophyta; Bryopsida; Funariales; Funariaceae. The record is from RNAcentral.
CUGAAUUACGUUGUAAAGUUCUUGUACGACGACGUGAAUUACAACAGACACAGCUUCCUGGUUUUACAAAGUGCGGAGUUAACAAAUAUACGGAGAGGUGUACACAAACUCCUUGCAAGUAAACCGACACAUCAAAUACCUUUCAGAUAGAAAUCUGAUUUCGAUAUCCGAUUGUUGACCAUCUGUUGAGAUGGUAGGAUUGCAAAUCAUUAGUCACUACACUUCGAACAUAUGUGUUAUUGGAUGAUAUUACAGUCGCCCUUCGCAAUGUGUGCCUCUAACCGAAAACCGAAGGCAAAUUCAUAGACCAGCCCAAUCCUGCCAAACCAGGAUAAACCUAAUACAAGUGGUCACUUCUUACGCGAAGAUUCAUGUUAACGUAACGCACAUGCGUGAGUACCUUUUCCAGCUUUCCUUUCGCCUCUUGUGCUAUGGGCACAGGCUUUUAAGCCUGUACACUACAAACUCCUGAUAAUCAGUGAAGUAAGUCAUUCACUCAUGCAACAGAUAAAAUUUAUAUACCACAGUUUGCAUAGAAUACCAUAUCUUUUUGAGUUCAAAGAUGCACUAACGUGAUGACAUUUCUUAUGACAAAAUAUAUACAAGAACCACAUUCCUAUAAAGUGUGAUGGGCUUUACAUAUGGUAGUUUCUUGAGUGUCUAUGCAGGAUGUCACGCUCAAAUUUAGGACCUCGCGCCCAGGUAACAUGUCACAGUUAGCAAGUUACCGAUUCACAAAAAUCCCAAAGCCAUCUUAAGCAGUCUGCCAACAGAAGUCCACUGACUACUUCGAAAUCUUGGCAUCGCACAAACAGACGUUAAAAUCUCUGCAUACAAACAACAUUGCCUUCCUCCGAAGUACGCUCACUCAUUUGCAAGGGAUUCAACCAAAUAACAAAAAGCGUUGCUGGAGAAACACAGAAUGCGCAACUCACCAAGUCAGUUGCGUUGGUGACCACGCCAUUUGCAGGGAGGGUUGUGACAGCGCCCGCAUUGCUCUUGGUAGUAUUAAGAGUAGACUAUUGCAAGAGCAACUUCACAACACCCUGACACCUCCAACCUGAUGAGACUCGAAGAAAAUAUGCGCAACAAACUCUAUUCUCAAACGCAGAGAGCAUUGAAAUCGAUACUCCCUAACAAGAUACUGUAAAGCCAGUUUACCCAAAGGAAAGUCAUAAACGCACAACAGUUCAGAUUUCACAAAUCUAAGAGGAAACCAGACCAGCAGAAGAACCAUAUGCAACCCCGCGAAUUAAGACCUUGUGAUUCAUCUAAGGGCUGUCGACGUUCCACUAGCGUGAACAUGUCGCAUCAAACAAUCUCUAUAACAAGAGUAUUAAAAAUGAACCCGAGCUCUUGAAACUUUCACCAAUCAAUGAGAUACGACUGGAACCUCAUCAAGACGUGGCUCGUUUAAUCUGAUAAAUUGACAAACUCAUAGAACAAAGAGAAUCAGCGCAUUGCCCCUUGUACACUUCUCCACCGUCCUUAUCUCAAGUUUCUUUCCACAGGGCAACACGAGAAAACUUCGCCACUGAUCAUUAACAAACUCUGAAAACAAACCGGAUCAUCUGCAAUUCAAACCGUCCUAAUCGACAAAUUCUAGCCAGAUACUUCAGCUGAUCUAAUUCAUGUUCAAGCAAAUGCAAACAGCAAUCAGGAUUCAUUCACCUCCAGUCAUCUCUCAAGGUUACGACCCAUCACAACGCAUCCCGAUGAUCCACUGUACUGGAGACUGGCUUCGAAACCGCU